Molecule: ribosomal RNA, 253 nt
Filed under: uncultured bacterium
Lineage: Bacteria
Description: partial 16S ribosomal RNA
Rfam family: Bacterial small subunit ribosomal RNA
Source: RNAcentral
UACGUAGGGGGCUAGCGUUGUCCGGAAUCAUUGGGCGUAAAGCGCGUGUAGGCGGUUCGGUAAGUCCGCUGUGAAAGUCGAGGGCUCAACCCUCGAAUGCCGGUGGAUACUGUCGGGCUAGAGUGCGGAAGAGGCGAGUGGAAUUCCUGGUGUAGCGGUGAAAUGCGCAGAUAUCAGGAGGAACACCAAUUGCGAAGGCAGCUCGCUGGGACGUUACUGACGCUGAGACGCGAAAGCCAGGGGAGCAAACGGG